GCCUGCCCAGUGACUUUGUUCAACGGCCGCGGUAUCCUAACCGUGCGAAGGUAGCGUAAUCACUUGUUCUUUAAAUGAGGACUAGUAUGAAAGGCAUCACGAGGGUUCUACUGUCUCCUUUUUCUAAUUAGUGAAACUAAUCUCCCCGUGAAGAAGCGGGAAUCCAAAUAUAAGACGAGAAGACCCUAUGGAGCUUUAAAUUAUAUAACAAUUGCUACCCCCUUUUAUUAACCCUUUAACGUCUAGCAAUUUGAUUAUAUAUUUUUGGUUGGGGUGACCGCGGAGCACAACACAACCUCCACAUUGAAAGGACCAUACUCCUAAGCUAAAAACAACAACUUUAUGCAUCAGUAUACUGACAUUAAUUGACCCAAUAUAUUUGAUCAACGAACCAAGUUACCCUAGGGAUAACAGCGCAAUCUACUUUAAGAGCCCAUAUCGACAAGUAGGUUUACGACCUCGAUGUUGGAUCAGGGUGUCCUAGUGGUGCAGCCGCUACUAAUGGUUCGUUUGUUCAACGAUUAAAACCCU
Molecule: ribosomal RNA, 531 nt
Filed under: Thoropa megatympanum
Lineage: Eukaryota; Metazoa; Chordata; Amphibia; Anura; Cycloramphidae
Description: partial 16S ribosomal RNA
Rfam family: Bacterial large subunit ribosomal RNA
Source: RNAcentral